GCUGCGCACUUCGGUCUUUUACGUCGGCCUUCGCGAGCGUCUGGGCGGGUGGUAGGUGAGUGGGUAUUGCGGGCUAGUAUCCGAGCAAAAGAUGGUGGCGCAGGCCGAGUUAAGAGCUUUAAUCCUGUGAAGACAUCUUAGUGAAGAGUUUAGAGUGCUGAGAGUUGAAAGCUUGCACGUGGGAAACGUGCGGCCGGACUGCCACAUGUACUGAGGUUGAGUCGUGACGGCCACAGGCUCCGAGUUUUGGCGUGAGGAACCGCUGAUCGGCCACGGGCGCCGAACUUGCUGGCCUCCGGCAUGUGCCUGAGCGGCGGCGGAAAAACCACCUUAAUUGGGGCGGAGGGUUAGUUUUAACAGCAAAGGGCCUUUACUAAAAUGGCGAAGGCCUUCCGUCGGCGUUGUUUUAAAAUGGGAAGCCUCGACCCUGUAUUGAAACUGAGCUGUUCGAAGGCGGCGUUGUGUGCAAUUCGGAUUAAUGAAGGGGAAGGGUUUUGUGUGGAAAAACGCCUUGGAGUGUGACAUUUCUGCGAGAAUGCUUAAAUACCGAUUUCCCGCAGGAACAAUGGCGCUGUCUUCAGUGGCACAGUGGAGCAGCUCUGAAGAUGCAAAGAUACACGAAAAAACUUCCAGAACAUCUGGGAGAAUAUUUAAUGGAAAAUCGCUUGGUUAAAACCUGACACUUUUAACAGUGAACAGCGUUCUGAGUGUGGACGAGUAGCCAGUGAAGAUAAUGAAUGUCGAAUGUGACUGACUAGCAGCUUCAUUUUGAAUGAGGGUCGCUGUCUGCCCAUUGAUAGAGGCCAGAUUGUCUUGGAAGUUCCAAAGUUGCAACGAUUUCUGGCUAGUGCCACGAGGUUUACUUGACUGUUGUGUGAAAAGCUGAUAAGAAAACCAUCCAGAAAAAAGCUCUUCGUUUUACAAACAUGAAAAUAAAACAUGUAAUUUUGGAUUAUGUUCCUUUUUGUUAUUACUUUUAAAUAGGUCCUGAAAUAACAUGGGGAGCAUUAAAUGGAAAAUCCACUAACCAGCCUUGUAAUCAAAUUACUUUAGUUGAAUCCAUGGACAUGAAACCCACAGAUAUAGAGGGUUGGCCCGGUGCAGUGGCUCACGCCUGUAAUCCCAGCACUUUGGGAGGCCAAGGCGGGUGGAUCACCUGAGGUCAGAAGCUUGAGACCAGCCUGGCCAACAUGGGUACUGCUUUCUCUUGCUGCAGCUUGCUUCCUCCCUCAGGUAACAUGAAGGAGGAUAUUGAAUGUUCCUAACACAAAGAAAUGAUAAAUGUUUGAGAUGGUGGAUGUACUAAUUGCCCUGAUCUGAUGACUAUACAUUAUAUAUAUUGAAACAUCAGUAUGUACCCCAUGAAUAUGUACAAUUAUAUGUCAACUUAAACACAUUUAAAAGUAAAAAAAAAAAAAUCCAAAA
This 1425-nucleotide long non-coding RNA is filed under the name Homo sapiens (human). RNAcentral describes it as "small nucleolar RNA host gene 5". The record is from RNAcentral. Lineage: Eukaryota; Metazoa; Chordata; Mammalia; Primates; Hominidae.